Molecule: ribosomal RNA, 462 nt
Filed under: uncultured Nannocystineae bacterium
Lineage: Bacteria; Pseudomonadati; Myxococcota; Myxococcia; Myxococcales
Description: bacterial SSU rRNA
Rfam family: Bacterial small subunit ribosomal RNA
Source: RNAcentral
GCACAAGCGGUGGAGUAUGUGGUUUAAUUCGAUGCAACGCGAAGAACCUUUACCUGGGUUGGAAACCCCUGGAAUCCUGCAGAGAUGUGGGAGUGCUCUUUUAGAGAAUCAGGUGUCCAGGUGCUGCAUGGUUGUCGUCAGCUCGUGUCGUGAGAUGUUGGGUUAAGUCCCGCAACGAGCGCAACCCCUGUUGUUAGUUGCCAGCGAUUCGGUCGGGCACUCUAACGAGACUGCCGGUGGUAAGCCGGAGGAAGUGGGAUGACGUCAAAUCCUCAUGGCCCUUAUGCCCAGGGCUACACACGUACUACAAUGGUCGGUACAAUGGGUAGCCAAGCCGCGAGGCGGAGCCAAUCCUGAAAGCAGGCCUCAGUUCAGAUUGCAGUCUGCAACUCGACUGCAUGAAGCCGGAGUUGCUAGUAACCGCAGGUCAGCAAUACUGCGGUGAAUACGUUCCCGGGUCUU